GGGUUGUGAGGUUAAGCGACUAAGCGUACACGGUGGAUGCCCUGGCAGUCAGAGGCGAUGAAGGGCGUGCUAAUCUGCGAUAAGCGCCGGUAAGGUGAUAUGAACCGUUAUAACCGGCGAUACCCGAAUGGGGAAACCCAGUGUGAUUCGUCACACUAUCAUUAACUGAAUCCAUAGGUUAAUGAGGCGAACCGGGGGAACUGAAACAUCUAAGUACCCCGAGGAAAAGAAAUCAACCGAGAUUCCCCCAGUAGCGGCGAGCGAACGGGGAGGAGCCCAGAGCCUGAAUCAGCAUGUGUGUUAGUGGAAGCGUCUGGAAAGGCGCGCGAUACAGGGUGACAGCCCCGUACACAAAAGCGCAUGUGCUGUGAGCUCGAUGAGUAGGGCGGGACACGUGGUAUCCUGUCUGAAUAUGGGGGGACCAUCCUCCAAGGCUAAAUACUCCUGACUGACCGAUAGUGAACCAGUACCGUGAGGGAAAGGCGAAAAGAACCCCGGCGAGGGGAGUGAAAAAGAACCUGAAACCGUGUACGUACAAGCAGUGGGAGCACCCUUUUGGGUGUGACUGCGUACCUUUUGUAUAAUGGGUCAGCGACUUAUAUUCUGUAGCAAGGUUAACCGUAUAGGGGAGCCGGAGGGAAACCGAGUCUUAAUUGGGCGUUAAGUUGCAGGGUAUAGACCCGAAACCCGGUGAUCUAGCCAUGGGCAGGUUGAAGGUUGGGUAACACUAACUGGAGGACCGAACCGACUAAUGUUGAAAAAUUAGCGGAUGACCUGUGGCUGGGGGUGAAAGGCCAAUCAAACCGGGAGAUAGCUGGUUCUCCCCGAAAGCUAUUUAGGUAGCGCCUCGUGAAUUCAUCUCCGGGGGUAGAGCACUGUUUCGGCUAGGGGGCCAUCCCGGCUUACCAACCCGAUGCAAACUGCGAAUACCGGAGAAUGUUAUCACGGGAGACACACGGCGGGUGCUAACGUCCGUCGUGAAGAGGGAAACAACCCAGACCGCCAGCUAAGGUCCCAAAGUCAUGGUUAAGUGGGAAACGAUGUGGGAAGGCCCAGACAGCCAGGAUGUUGGCUUAGAAGCAGCCAUCAUUUAAAGAAAGCGUAAUAGCUCACUGGUCGAGUCGGCCUGCGCGGAAGAUGUAACGGGGCUAAACCAUGCACCGAAGCUGCGGCAGCGACGCUUAUGCGUUGUUGGGUAGGGGAGCGUUCUGUAAGCCUGCGAAGGUGGCCUGUGAGGGUUGCUGGAGGUAUCAGAAGUGCGAAUGCUGACAUAAGUAACGAUAAAGCGGGUGAAAAGCCCGCUCGCCGGAAGACCAAGGGUUCCUGUCCAACGUUAAUCGGGGCAGGGUGAGUCGACCCCUAAGGCGAGGCCGAAAGGCGUAGUCGAUGGGAAACGGGUUAAUAUUCCCGUACUUGGUGUUACUGCGAAGGGGGGACGGAGAAGGCUAUGUUGGCCGGGCGACGGUUGUCCCGGUUUAAGCGUGUAGGUGUGUGUUCCAGGUAAAUCCGGUUCACUUUAACACUGAGGCGUGACGACGAGGCACUACGGUGCUGAAGCAACAAAUGCCCUGCUUCCAGGAAAAGCCUCUAAGCAUCAGGUAACAUCAAAUCGUACCCCAAACCGACACAGGUGGUCAGGUAGAGAAUACCAAGGCGCUUGAGAGAACUCGGGUGAAGGAACUAGGCAAAAUGGUGCCGUAACUUCGGGAGAAGGCACGCUGACACGUAGGUGAAGUGAUUUACUCAUGGAGCUGAAGUCAGUCGAAGAUACCAGCUGGCUGCAACUGUUUAUUAAAAACACAGCACUGUGCAAACACGAAAGUGGACGUAUACGGUGUGACGCCUGCCCGGUGCCGGAAGGUUAAUUGAUGGGGUCAGCGCAAGCGAAGCUCCUGAUCGAAGCCCCGGUAAACGGCGGCCGUAACUAUAACGGUCCUAAGGUAGCGAAAUUCCUUGUCGGGUAAGUUCCGACCUGCACGAAUGGCGUAAUGAUGGCCAGGCUGUCUCCACCCGAGACUCAGUGAAAUUGAACUCGCUGUGAAGAUGCAGUGUACCCGCGGCAAGACGGAAAGACCCCGUGAACCUUUACUAUAGCUUGACACUGAACAUUGAGCCUUGAUGUGUAGGAUAGGUGGGAGGCUUUGAAGCGUGGACGCCAGUCUGCGUGGAGCCGACCUUGAAAUACCACCCUUUAAUGUUUGAUGUUCUAACGUGGACCCGUGAUCCGGGUUGCGGACAGUGUCUGGUGGGUAGUUUGACUGGGGCGGUCUCCUCCUAAAGAGUAACGGAGGAGCACGAAGGUUGGCUAAUCCUGGUCGGACAUCAGGAGGUUAGUGCAAUGGCAUAAGCCAGCUUGACUGCGAGCGUGACGGCGCGAGCAGGUGCGAAAGCAGGUCAUAGUGAUCCGGUGGUUCUGAAUGGAAGGGCCAUCGCUCAACGGAUAAAAGGUACUCCGGGGAUAACAGGCUGAUACCGCCCAAGAGUUCAUAUCGACGGCGGUGUUUGGCACCUCGAUGUCGGCUCAUCACAUCCUGGGGCUGAAGUAGGUCCCAAGGGUAUGGCUGUUCGCCAUUUAAAGUGGUACGCGAGCUGGGUUUAGAACGUCGUGAGACAGUUCGGUCCCUAUCUGCCGUGGGCGCUGGAGAACUGAGGGGGGCUGCUCCUAGUACGAGAGGACCGGAGUGGACGCAUCACUGGUGUUCGGGUUGUCAUGCCAAUGGCACUGCCCGGUAGCUAAAUGCGGAAGAGAUAAGUGCUGAAAGCAUCUAAGCACGAAACUUGCCCCGAGAUGAGUUCUCCCUGAGACUUAGAGUCUCCUGAAGGAACGUUGAAGACGACGACGUUGAUAGGCCGGGUGUGUAAGCGCAGCGAUGCGUUGAGCUAACCGGUACUAAUGAACCGUGAGGCUUAACCUUACAACGCCGAAG
RNAcentral lists this ribosomal RNA (2927 nucleotides) under Salmonella enterica subsp. enterica serovar Braenderup. RNAcentral's name for it is "bacterial LSU rRNA". It matches the Rfam family "Bacterial large subunit ribosomal RNA". The record is from RNAcentral. Lineage: Bacteria; Pseudomonadati; Pseudomonadota; Gammaproteobacteria; Enterobacterales; Enterobacteriaceae.